RNAcentral lists this ribosomal RNA (465 nucleotides) under uncultured bacterium. Its description in RNAcentral is "partial 16S ribosomal RNA". It matches the Rfam family "Bacterial small subunit ribosomal RNA", at positions 28 to 507 of the family's 1533-position model. The record is from RNAcentral.
GACGAACGCUGGCGGCGUGCUUAACACAUGCAAGUCGAACGGAAAGGCCCCUUCGGGGGUACUCGAGUGGCGAACAGGUGAGUAACACGUGAGUAACCUGCCCUUGACUUCGGGAUAACUUCAGGAAACUGGGGCUAAUACCGGAUAGGAAUCCUUGCUGCAUGGUGGGGGUUGGAAAGCUUCGGCGGUUUUGGAUGGACUCGCGGCUUAUCAGCUUGUUGGUGGGGUAGUGGCUUACCAAGGCUUUGACGGGUAGCCGGCCUGAGAGGGCGACCGGCCACAUUGGGACUGAGAUACGGCCCAGACUCCGAAGGGAGGCAGCAGUGGGGAAUAUUGAACAAUGGGCGGAAGCCUGAUGCAGCAACGCCGCGUGCGGGAUGACGGCCUUCGGGUUGUAAACCGCUUUCAGCAGGGGCGAAGCUUGUGGUGACGGUACCUGCAGAAGAAGCACCGGCUAACUACGUG